Molecule: ribosomal RNA, 161 nt
Filed under: uncultured Acinetobacter sp.
Lineage: Bacteria; Pseudomonadati; Pseudomonadota; Gammaproteobacteria; Moraxellales; Moraxellaceae
Description: partial 16S ribosomal RNA
Rfam family: Bacterial small subunit ribosomal RNA
Source: RNAcentral
UGGGGAAUAUUGGGCAAUGGGGGCAACCCUGAUCCAGCCAUGCCGCGUGUGUGAAGAAGGCCUUUUGGUUGUAAAGCACUUUAAGCGAGGAGGAGGAGCUCUAGAUUAAUACUCUAGAUGCUUGGACGUUACUCGCAGAAUAAGCACCGGCUAACUCUGUG